GACACAGAAAGAGUCACGAUGCAACAGGAGGUUGAGCAAAUGAUCAGAGACGACAUCUGCCCUCUGACACAACCCAUUGCACCACCAAAAAAUGAUUGCCCUCAAAAAAAGUACAUCCCUGAAAAAACAAACCAUCCACUGCCCCCUGAAAAAACGAACCAUUCACUGCCCCCCGAAAAAACGAACCAUUCACUGCCUCCCG
This is a long non-coding RNA of Thalassophryne amazonica, 202 nucleotides long. RefSeq lists it as uncharacterized. The transcript is spliced from 3 exons. The record is from RefSeq and is a predicted model, not a curated record. NCBI's taxonomy places the organism in Eukaryota, Metazoa, Chordata, Actinopteri, Batrachoidiformes, Batrachoididae.